GCAUCCGCAGCCAUCCCAGGAAGCUCCUUGGGAACCAUCCAGCGAGCCCCUUCUUGUGUCACCUGCCGGUUAAACGAGCCCAGAGGCGCACGCGGCAAAGGAGUUGGUGUAUGAUGGCGAGCCGCGUUCGUUAACCAAGGCUCACCCGGAGAUAGACCAAUAUCCAGUCUAUUCAACUUACGUUAUCCAUAAAAUGGCGCAUUCCCACAAUCCGGGAUUGGCCAUGCAAAUCCACCUCCAGACCAAUCUCUCCCAUGCCCUCUGAACAGUUGAACGGAUUUAAGUGGCCCAUACCAGACAGGAAAUAGCUACGGUUUCCUGUUUGGCUCAGAGUGCACCUCCUCCUAAACACGGUAGGGCCAACAUCUGCUUCCUUCUGUUUCCAGGCACCUGCCUCGAUCCUUUUAUUAAAAUGCUUUCAUGUCUAACUAAUUCUCCUCUGUUUACUGUUCCCUUUCUUCUAUUGCGACUGGCGGGCAUGCAGAUGUGCCAUCUAGUGCCACCUGCCAGGUGAUUGCGAUGCACGAUUCGUAAAGGGAUGCUUGAUCACAUCCAAGGGCUAAUUGGCAGUGAGAGCUGCUGGAAAUCGCAGGAGAAGGGAAUCAUUGAUUGUGCUGUAAUCUUACUGGAAUUGGAGGCAGGAGCUUUAAAUCACCCAGAAAUGGAGGAGCUGUCUUUUGUGUGACACCUCUGGGCUCAUACGAGCUCCACUCUGUGCGGACGUGCAGCUGCUGAAGUAGGAGUGCGGCUGGAGUGAGGCCCUCGCCAUCUCUUUAUCAAAGCUGAUUUGCAUGAUACAAAUUGUCCUACGUUUUUGGUUCAUCUUCUACUAUUUUCUAGAGGGCCCAGUACAGAAAUGCCACAUCCGUGUUCCACGGAAACCCACUUCAUUGUUAAUCAUUUCAUUUUGAUUUUGCGACGACACCGGCAAAAGUUGUGUGUUUACGCUCUUGGAAGCUUUCUGAACAGGAUAUUUCUCAGUGA
Molecule: long non-coding RNA, 984 nt
Organism: Leopardus geoffroyi (Geoffroy's cat)
Lineage: Eukaryota; Metazoa; Chordata; Mammalia; Carnivora; Felidae
Exons: 2
Source: RefSeq, a predicted model, not a curated record